This is a non-coding RNA of Momordica charantia (bitter melon), 2290 nucleotides long. NCBI's taxonomy places the organism in Eukaryota, Viridiplantae, Streptophyta, Magnoliopsida, Cucurbitales, Cucurbitaceae. The record is from RefSeq and is a predicted model, not a curated record.
UUCUUCGUUUCCAAACCGGCGGUAAAACGAACAAAAAAGAAAAGGGCGGAAAAAGGAAACCCUGCUACGAACUAGGGUUUUUUUUUGUUCUUCUAAUUUUCACUUCAAUUCAAGGGAUGAUAAUUCCCUAAUUUUCCUUUUCCCGAGUUCUUCUAUCCUCCUACUAAUCCACUCUCCGUUGGUUCCUCCUCUGCCAGAAGUUCGUAUUCGGCAUGGCUCGGCUGAUGGGAAGCUUAACUUAUCGAAUUCUUCGGGGGUGUAUGACAUUCCGACUGUUUCGCACGGAGCGGCUUUCCCGACAGCAGACAGAAAGUUGGCUUCUUUAUGGUUAUCAUAGUGCUACUACCGAUAAAUUUAGGACGGGGGAAGAAAUGGAAAUAUAGUUUUGGUUUUUGGGUCUUCGUAGAUAUCGAAUACGUCCUCUGAUAUGAUUGGGUGACUGGAUUAUGUCUGGAAGAAACCGUGGACCGCCUGUCCCACUAAAUGGCGUGCCUCAUGGUGGACUACCACCAGUUCGUGAACCUCCUUUUGGCAGAGGCCUUGGGCCAAUGCCACAUCCAGCGCUUCUCGAGGAAAUCAGAGAAACACAGUAUGGAAUGCAUCCAGGACCCCUUCCUCCACACCCUGUAAUUAUAGAGGAGCGUCUUGCUGCCCAGCAUCAAGAUAUUCAAGGUCUUCUUCUUGACAACCAGAGACUAGCUGCAACCCAUGUUGCACUUAAGCAGGAACUAGAAGCAGCCCAGCAUGAGCUACAACGCAUGGCUCAUAUUGCUGAUUCCUUACAUGCAGAAAGGGACAUUCAGAUGAGAGAAUUGUAUGAAAAAUCAGUAAGACUAGAGGUAGAUCUGCGUGGAGUUGAGACUAUGCGGGCGGAGCUUCUUCAAGUUCAUUCUGAUGUCAAGGAAUUAACUGCUUCAAGGCAGGACCUCACAGGUCAAGCACAAGCAAUGACACAAGAUCUAACUAGAAUUACUGCUGAUUUGCAGCAAGUCCCGGCUUUGAGGGCAGAAAUUGAAACUGUAAAGCAGGAAUUACAUCGUGCCAGAGUUGCCAUUGAGUAUGAAAAGAAGGGAUAUGCAGAGAAUUAUGAACAUGGCCAGGUAAUGGAGAAGAAACUGGUUUCAAUGGCCAGGGAGUUGGAGAAACUUCGAGCUGAGGUUGCUAAUUCGGAGAAGAGAGCUCAUGCUUCUGCUGUUGCUGUUGGAAAUGCUGCUGCAGGGUAUGGUGCAAAUUAUGGCAAUGCUGAUGCUGGAUAUGCUGGAAAUCCAUAUUCAUCAAACUAUGGCAUGAACUCCGUACAGUCUGGUACAGAUGGUUAUCCUCCAUAUGGAGCUGGAUCUGUUUCCUGGGGUGCAUAUGACAUGCAACGAGCUCAAGGACACAGAUAGGCCAGUGCACCAUAUCCAUCCAAGAUGUGUCUUGUGGAGGGCCUGAGGUUCAAAGCACAAAGCAUUGAUAAUUAGUUGCAGGUUUGUGGACCCUCGUGAUCUGUUUCAUUUAUGGUUAUGAACUGAUCUCAGAUUGUACUAAGGUGGUAAUUUUACAAUAGCGAUGUAAGCUGAAUUCCAAUAUCGUCCAUCUACAGUUGCUGCCCCUUGCAGCCUCAACGAACAAUACGUUCCAUCUUAUGAAGCAAAGUUCGAUACGGGAUUAAUUUCUCUUUGUUGCAUAAAUUUGUCACAGAGCAGCUUGUGCUCACAAAAUUUAUGGCUACCAGUGGUUGGUUCAUUCCCUCUGCCGAAAAAAUCUGCUCUGAACCUCCAAAGUCAGUUCACGAGUUUUCUUAUUCACUGUUUCAAAAGGUGGAGAACAGUUUGAUACAUUUUCCCUGUGGUUCUCCAACUUUCACCUAUGUCCUGUACGUUACCACUCGUUUACAUUGACAUAAAAAAGGAGAUAUCAAGGGAUCAUCAUUCUUCCACUGGGUGCAGGUGCAUGAACCACGACUUCAAGCGUCACACAUCCGUUGACUACCUACCGUUUAAGUGUCAGAAUCGGUGUAUGGAAAGCUUGGCUACAUUGCCUCAUGACAAAACAGGUUUGGCAGAGUUUAAUACAAAUUUUAUCCCCUUCCAGUUUCAUUUUUGAAUUAGGGUAGGUUUUGGAGUUGGGUGAAAUAAAAAACAAAUUAAAGCUUGUUGGCACUUGUUUUUCUGAAAUUUGUCACCCGUGGCUGUGCUUCCAAAUCACACAAAUGAUUGUUUGUCACAGUUUGAUGAUAUUUUUACAUAUGUUAGUCUAUAAUUCUCAUUUGAACUACCAAUAUAUGAGAUCAGGUUUUAUAGUGAUU